AUUUUGGACAAUGGGCGAAAGCCUGAUCCAGCAAUGCCGCGUGCGUGCAGAAGGCCUGCGGGUUGUAAAGCACUUUCAGUGUGGAAGAAAAGCUCGGGGCUAAUACCUCCGGGCCUUGACGUUACCCACAGAACAAACACCGGCUACCUCCGUGCCGGCAGCCGCGGUAAAACGGAGGGUGCAAGCGUUAAUCGGAAUUACUGGGCGUAAAGCGAACGCAGGUGGCUAUGUAAGUCGGAUGUGAAAGCCCUGGGCUUAACCUGGGAACUGCAUUCGAAACUGCAUGGCUAGAGUAUGGGAGAGGGAAGUGGAAUUCCCGGUGUAGCGGUGAGAUGCGUAGAUAUCGGGAGGAACACCAGUGGCGAAGGCGGCUUCCUGGCCCAAUACUGACACUCAUGUGCGACAGAGUGGGGAGCAAACA
Molecule: ribosomal RNA, 421 nt
Filed under: uncultured bacterium
Lineage: Bacteria
Description: partial 16S ribosomal RNA
Rfam family: Bacterial small subunit ribosomal RNA
Source: RNAcentral